This 358-nucleotide long non-coding RNA is filed under the name Gallus gallus (chicken). The record is from RNAcentral. Lineage: Eukaryota; Metazoa; Chordata; Aves; Galliformes; Phasianidae.
AAUAAAUCGCUUCUGUGCUCCAGCCCGAGCUUAAAUGCUUCCUCUGGGCUUUUGUGCUUUGUGAUUAAAAUCUUAUUGUUAUUUCCCUUUAUUGGAUUUUUCUUGUCAUUUUCAAAGUGAAGUGCUUUUACCUUUCCGCAGUUAUGAUUCAGUGAAAUCCCAGGGAAACAUUGCACUGUUUUUCAGCAGGAACAUUCUUCAUCCUGCUAACAUCUGGCUUUUUCCUCUGAUCACCAACCAAAGCAAAUUUAAUAGAAAUUCUGUUUUCUGACUUAUCUCCGAUGCCAAACCGUGCUCCAAAUUUAGUGGUGAUCGAGAGCGAGGGUUUAUAUUUGCAGAGUGCGUUAAAGAAAUCAGC